GACGAACGCUGGCGGCGUGCCUAAUACAUGCAAGUUGAGCGCUGAAGGUUGGUACUUGUACGAACUGGAUGAGCAGCGCACGGGUGUGUAACGCGUGGAGAAUCUGCCUUUGAGCGGGGGACAACAUUUGGAAACGAAUGCUAAUACCGCAUAAAAACUUUAAACACAAGUUUUAAGUUUGAAAGAUGCAAUUGCAUCACUCAAAGAUGAUCCCGCGUUGUAUUAGCUAGUUGGUGAGGUAAAGGCUCACCAAGGCGAGGUAGCAGAGCCGACCGGAGAGGGCGGGCAGCCACCUUGGGACGGUGACACGCCCCAAACGGCUUCGGGAGGCGGCAGUAGGGAAUCGUCGGCAAUGGGCGAAAGUCUGACCGAGCAACGCGGCGGGAGGGAAGAAGGAUUUCGGAUCGUAAAACACGGUUGUUGGAGAAUAACGUGCGUGAGAGUGGAAAGAUCAGCAAGUGACGGUAACGACCCAGAAAGCAACGGCUAACUACGUG
RNAcentral lists this ribosomal RNA (497 nucleotides) under uncultured bacterium. RNAcentral describes it as "partial 16S ribosomal RNA". It matches the Rfam family "Bacterial small subunit ribosomal RNA", at positions 28 to 507 of the family's 1533-position model. The record is from RNAcentral.